This 383-nucleotide ribosomal RNA is filed under the name uncultured bacterium. RNAcentral describes it as "bacterial SSU rRNA". It matches the Rfam family "Bacterial small subunit ribosomal RNA", at positions 28 to 405 of the family's 1533-position model. The record is from RNAcentral.
GAUGAACGCUAGCUACAGGCUUAACACAUGCAAGUCGAGGGGCAGCAUAAACAUUGCUUGCAAUGUUUGAUGGCGACCGGCGCACGGGUGCGUAACGCGUAUGUAACCUACCUCAAACAGGGGCAUAACACUGAGAAAUUGGUACUAAUUCCCCAUAACACCUGAUAGGGCAUCCUAUUAGGUUGAAAGUUCCGGCGGUUUGAGAUGGACAUGCGUUGUAUUAGCUAGUUGGUGAGGUAACGGCUCACCAAGGCGACGAUACAUAGGGGGACUGAGAGGUUAACCCCCCACACUGGUACUGAGACACGGACCAGACUCCUACGGGAGGCAGCAGUGAGGAAUAUGGUCAAUGGACGGAAGUCUGACCAGCCAAGUCGCGUGAA